CUACGGGGUGCAGCAGUGGGGAAUAUUGGACAAUGGGGGAAACCCUGAUCCAGCAAUGCCGCGUGUGUGAAGAAGGCCUGCGGGUUGUAAAGCACUUUCGGUUGGGAGGACUGCUUCUAGCACUAAUAUUGUUGGAAGUUGACGUUACCUUCAGAAGAAGCACCGGCUAACUCCGUGCCAGCAGCCGCGGUAAUACGGAGGGUGCAAGCGUUAAUCGGAAGUACGGGGCGUAAAGCGCGCGUAGGCGGCUAGAUCAGUCGGGUGUGAAAGCCCCGGGCUUAACCUGGGAACUGCAUCCGAUACUGUCUAGCUUGAGUACAGGAGAGGAGAGUGGAAUUCCACAUGUAGCGGUGAAAUGCGUAGAUAUGUGGAGGAACACCAAUGGCGAAGGCAGCGCUCUGGCCUGAUACUGACGCUGAGGUGCGAAAGCGGGGGGAGCAAACAGGAUUAGAUACCCCCGUAGUC
This 465-nucleotide ribosomal RNA is filed under the name uncultured bacterium. Its description in RNAcentral is "partial 16S ribosomal RNA". It matches the Rfam family "Bacterial small subunit ribosomal RNA", at positions 339 to 795 of the family's 1533-position model. The record is from RNAcentral.